GGAAAAGCUCAAAUUUAAAAUCUGGUAGANNGCUGUCCGAGUUGUAGUCUGGAGAAGCGUUUUCUGUGCUGUGACCGUGUACAAGUCUCUUGGAAUAGAGCGUCAUAGAGGGUGAGAAUCCCGUCUUUGACACGGACUGCCAGUGCUCUGUGAUGCGCUCUCAAAGAGUCGAGUUGUUUGGGAAUGCAGCUCAAAAUGGGUGGUAAAUUCCAUCUAAAGCUAAAUAUUGGCGAGAGACCGAUAGCGAACAAGUACCGUGAGGGAAAGAUGAAAAGCACUUUGGAAAGAGAGUUAAACAGUACGUGAAAUUGUUGAAAGGGAAACGCUUGAAGUCAGUCGCGUCGACCAGAACUCAGCCAUGCUUCUCGUGUGGUGCACUUUCUGGUAGACGGGCCAGCAUCAAUUUUGGCCGCUGGAAAAAGGCUUUGGGAAUGUGGCACCUUCGGGUGUGUUAUAGCCCUUGGUCACAUACAGCGGUUGGGAUUGAGGAUCUCAGCAUGCCUUUAUGGUCGGGGUUCGCCCACGUUCAUGCUUAGGAUGCUGGCGUAAUGGCUUUAAACGACCCGUCUUGAAACACGGACCAAGGAGUCUAACAUGCCUGCGAGUGUUUGGGUGGAAAACCCGAGCGCGUAAUGAAAGUGAAAGUUGGGAUCCCUGUCGUGGGGAGCACCGACGCCCGGACCAGACCUUCUGUGACGGAUCCGCGGUAGAGCAUGUAUGUUGGGACCCGAAAGAUGGUGAACUAUGCCUGAAUAGGGUGAAGCCAGAGGAAACUCUGGUGGAGACUCGUAGCGAUUCUGACGUGCAAAUC
This 811-nucleotide ribosomal RNA is filed under the name Trulla meridae. RNAcentral's name for it is "LSU rRNA". It matches the Rfam family "Eukaryotic large subunit ribosomal RNA", at positions 101 to 899 of the family's 3401-position model. The record is from RNAcentral. Lineage: Eukaryota; Fungi; Basidiomycota; Agaricomycetes; Polyporales; Steccherinaceae.